Molecule: ribosomal RNA, 194 nt
Filed under: uncultured bacterium
Lineage: Bacteria
Description: partial 16S ribosomal RNA
Rfam family: Bacterial small subunit ribosomal RNA
Source: RNAcentral
CCUACGGGAGGCAGCAGUGGGGAAUUUUGGACAAUGGGGGCAACCCUGAUCCAGCGACGCCGCGUGUGUGAAGAAGGCCUGCGGGUUGUAAAGCACUUUCGUUGGGAACGAAAUAUGCCGACCUAAUACGUCGGUAGGCUGACGUUACCCAAAUAAGAAGCACCGGCUAACUCUGUGCCAGCAGCCGCGGUAAU